This 253-nucleotide ribosomal RNA is filed under the name uncultured bacterium. Its description in RNAcentral is "partial 16S ribosomal RNA". It matches the Rfam family "Bacterial small subunit ribosomal RNA", at positions 524 to 776 of the family's 1533-position model. The record is from RNAcentral.
UACGUAGGGUCCGAGCGUUGUCCGGAAUUACUGGGCGUAAAGAGCUCGUAGGUGGUUUGUCGCGUUGUUCGUGAAAACUCACAGCUCAACUGUGGGCGUGCGGGCGAUACGGGCAGACUAGAGUACUGCAGGGGAGACUGGAAUUCCUGGUGUAGCGGUGGAAUGCGCAGAUAUCAGGAGGAACACCGGUGGCGAAGGCGGAUCUCUGGGCCUUACCUGACGCUGAGGCGCGAAAGCUAGGGGAGCGAACAGG